This 229-nucleotide ribosomal RNA is filed under the name uncultured bacterium. Its description in RNAcentral is "partial 16S ribosomal RNA". It matches the Rfam family "Bacterial small subunit ribosomal RNA", at positions 15 to 235 of the family's 1533-position model. The record is from RNAcentral.
GAUCCUGGCUCAGGAUGAACGCUAGCUACAGGCUUAACACAUGCAAGUCGAGGGGCAGCAUGGUCUUAGCUUGCUAAGGCCGAUGGCGACCGGCGCACGGGUGAGUAACGCGUAUCCAACCUGCCUUACACUCUUGGACAGCCUUCUGAAAGGGAGAUUAAUACAAGAUGUUAUCAUGAGUAAGCAUUUUCGCAUGAUUAAAGGUAUUCCGGUAGACGAUGGGGAUGCG